GGCAAGAUGGCCGAGCGGUCUAAGGCGCCAGACUCAAGUUUGCCCGAGUUCCUUCAUCAGUUCUCGAAAACUUCCACAUCUUCAAAUGUGGAGCAUUCUGGUCUCGAAAGAGGCGUGGGUUCAAAUCCCACUCUUGUCA
This 139-nucleotide transfer RNA is filed under the name Pyricularia grisea. RNAcentral's name for it is "tRNA-Leu". It matches the Rfam family "tRNA". Rfam says of the family: Transfer RNA (tRNA) molecules are approximately 80 nucleotides in length. Their secondary structure includes four short double-helical elements and three loops (D, anti-codon, and T loops). Lineage: Eukaryota; Fungi; Ascomycota; Sordariomycetes; Magnaporthales; Pyriculariaceae. The record is from RNAcentral.